This 665-nucleotide ribosomal RNA is filed under the name Pristimantis lanthanites (metallic robber frog). Its description in RNAcentral is "partial 12S ribosomal RNA". It matches the Rfam family "Bacterial small subunit ribosomal RNA", at positions 359 to 1405 of the family's 1533-position model. Lineage: Eukaryota; Metazoa; Chordata; Amphibia; Anura; Strabomantidae. The record is from RNAcentral.
UAUCAGGCACGCCCAAAACAUCUAGCCACGCCACACCCAGGGUACUCAGCAGUGAUUAACUUUUUUUUAAACGUCAGUUUGAUUUAGUCAGUGAAAAUGGAGCCGGCCAACCUGGUGCCAGCCGCCGCGGUUACACCAGGGGCUCAAAUUGAUUCGGCGUAAAGCGUGAUUAAAGGGUUAAAUUUUAACUAAACUGUUUAACGUUUGUUAUAAUGAACUCAUACUCGAAAGAUACCUCAACCAACCAACUUGAACUCACGACAACUGGGAUACAAACUGGGAUUAGACACCCCACUAUGCCCAGUUAUAAACUUUAACUUACCGCCAGGGAAUUACGAGCAAAGCUUGAAACCCAAAGGACUUGACGGUGCCCCAUAUCCCCCUAGAGGAGCCUGUCCCAUAAUCGAUGAUCCCCGCUACACCCUACCACUCCUAGUUCAGCUUGUAUACUUCCGUCGACAGCUUACCGUGUGAACGUAGUAAGCCUAAUGAUUUUCCAGUACGUCAGGUCAAAGUGCAGCUCAUGGGGUGGAGAGAGAUGGGCUACACUUUCUAUAGAAGAUACGAAAGUCUAUAUGAAACAUUCUGAAGGCGGAUUUAGUAGUAAAAAAAUAGCAUAUCCUUUUUAAGGCACUGGAGCGUGUACACACCGCCCGUCACCCUCU